AGUGAAUGCUGGCGGUAGACCUAACACAUGCAAGUCGAACGGCAGCACAGUAAGAGCUUGCUCUUACGGGUGGCGAGUGGCGGACGGGUGAGGAAUACAUCGGAAUCUACUUUUUCGUGGGGGAUAACGUAGGGAAACUUACGCUAAUACCGCAUACGACCUACGGGUGAAAGCAGGGGAUCUUCGGACCUUGCGCGAUUGAAUGAGCCGAUGUCGGAUUAGCUAGUUGGCGGGGUAAAGGCCCACCAAGGCGACGAUCCGUAGCUGGUCUGAGAGGAUGAUCAGCCACACUGGAACUGAGACACGGUCCAGACUCCUACGGGAGGCAGCAGUGGGGAAUAUUGGACAAUGGGCGCAAGCCUGAUCCAGCCAUACCGCGUGGGUGAAGAAGGCCUUCGGGUUGUAAAGCCCUUUUGUUGGGAAAGAAAAGCAGCAGGUUAAUACCCCGCUGUUCUGACGGUACCCAAAGAAUAAGCACCGGCUAACUUCGUG
RNAcentral lists this ribosomal RNA (492 nucleotides) under uncultured bacterium. RNAcentral's name for it is "partial 16S ribosomal RNA". It matches the Rfam family "Bacterial small subunit ribosomal RNA", at positions 29 to 507 of the family's 1533-position model. The record is from RNAcentral.